Molecule: ribosomal RNA, 380 nt
Filed under: Haplomyxa sp.
Lineage: Eukaryota; Foraminifera; Reticulomyxidae
Description: partial small subunit ribosomal RNA
Rfam family: Eukaryotic small subunit ribosomal RNA
Source: RNAcentral
AGCUCCAUUAGCGUAUAUUAAUGUUGUUGCAGUUAAAAAGCUCGUAGUUGGAUUUCUGUUUGUUGUUUGUGUAGUUAAUUUAAUUAAGUACAAAAACAACAUUCAUCCUUUGGGGAAAUUGUUAUGCUAUUCAUUUAGUACAACACCAACCCCAAUCUUUUACUGUGAAAAAAUUAGAGUGUUUAAAACAGGCUAUUACGUCUUGAAUACUAGAGCAUGGAAUAAUAAAAUACGACUUUUUUGUAUUUUGUUGGUUUGCGAAAAAAGUAAUGAUUAAGAGGAAUAGAUGGGGAUAUUUGUAUUUUAUUGUCAGAGGUGAAAUUCUUGGAUUUAUAAAAGACAAACUACUGCGAAAGCAUUUAUCAAGCAUGUUUUCAUUA